CCCGUCUCUCUCUCGAUAGACGAUAUGGGUUGGGUUGGGGGUAAUAGUCAUCCUUGAUCCUUAAUCCGUCGCAGGGAAGGGAAGGGAAGGGAAGGGAAGGGCGGAAGUAGCUGCAGCAAUGCCAUAAACCCAUUCUCCGGGUUGGUGGUUGGCGAGCCGUCUGUCCUCGACAGUGUAGGGCGGGCUUCGUCUUUUCCCAGGUUUAGCUACCUCUUCUUCGUCUCCUGCCUUCCCCCAGAGGAGAGGAAGGAUUCUACAUGCCCUUCUUUUUUCCAAGGAGAAGGACUGACGCGGUGCUGGAUGUUGUUGUUGCGGUUCCCGAAGUGGCUCCUCCGGCCUCAGCCUCUUGUAGUGCUCGCCCCUCCCGCCGUUGCUACGUUCCUCCCCACCUCCGCAACCGCUCCUCCCCCUCUUCCCUGUGAGGCGGCUCCGGUCGUUCCGCGAGCCGAAUCCCUUGGACAUCGGCGACGAGUUGGAAACUUGGAUGACCUGGGCAUCUCGGAGCAGCGGCAGCAGCAGGGUAUCAACUUGGACCCCUACAAAGACAUCCCCGUGGAGAUUAGCGGCGUGGACGUGCAUCAGCCGGUGAACACCUUCGCGAGGUCCUCCACCUGAGUAUCAAACCGUGCAAGUAUGUGAAGCUGACUCCAGUCCAGCGGCACGCCAUCCCCGUAUCCCCGGCCCGCUGGGACCCUCGGGCCUUCUGCUUCCCGUUCAUCAGCAGGAUACUGAGGAACUGCCCGCUUACGCCUUUAUCUUGUUCCCGACCAGGGAGUUGUCCUGCGAGGUCCCAUUGAUUACCUCGAGGCAUCGUAAUUUUCUCCAUCUUUACGUGGAAAAAAAGGGAAAAAAAAAUCUGGACGAAUAACAAUUCAGAAAGAAGUUGUCUUGUCAAACGGGGGUCAGUUGCUUAUGGAGGAACUCCCAUCCCUAAGCAGUUCUAGCACGGACUUGAUUUUCCAAGGAGUGGAAUGUGUUCCUGAUAUGGAGAAAAAAGUUAUUUAAUGGAUUGUUUUCAUGCCUAAAGAGUGAAUGGAACUCAUGGAAAGGAGCGAGAGCAAGCAUUGAGAUCCUUUAAGAGUGGCAACCACUCCCAUCAUGGUAGCAAUGAUAUUGCUGCCUGUGGUCUGGAUAUUCCACAUUUUGCUCAUGUCAGCAACUUUGAUCUGCCCAAAGACAUAGAUGAUUAUAUUCACAGGAUUGGUGGGACAGGAUGAGCUGGGAAGUCUGGUUUGGCUACUGCACUCUUUGGUGAUGGUAACCAGCCACUAGCUAAAGUUUUGGCUGCACUUAUGCAGGAGGCAAAACAAGAGGAUGAUUGUUGGUUAUAUCAUCUGGCGCUCUCGUGAUGGUGUGGAAUGAUUGCAAAUAUAUGCCAAGCCUCUUUCUAUGUAGUUAGGCCACAAUUCAGUGUUCGUUUAAAUUGAUCUCUGUACCGGGCCAGCAUGCCAAGUGAAUUAUAAAUGUAGAUCGGCCUCAUCGAGGAACUCGCAUUGUAUCUCUUUUUAGACUAUCUGUAUCAGUUUAUCAGAGGUCUGGCCUCUUGGCCUCCCUGUAAUCUUCAGAAUUCUGUAUUUACUGAGUGUCAUGAUGGUAAGGUUUUGAGAUUAUUAAUUUGUCUUCGGACGCUUCGGUUAUGCUAUGCAGUGUUCUUUUCUGCUGUGUCUUUCAGCUGUCAAACUGCUACAUGAUCAAUAUCCAUGCUACCUCCUGGCAUGCGAAAACUGGUGAAACUGGAAGUUCAUCAGUAUUUCAUGUGAUGAUGACACGUGGAGUGGUACAGUAUGUGAUAGUUCAACCGUGGGGUCCGAAAGUUCAAAGCAGUCCAAAGGAAAUGAUAACAACCACAAUGAGCAUCAUUAUAAUCAUAAUCAGUGUUCCCUGAAUCUCAAAUCAUAAAUGCUAGACAUAUAUACAUGCAUGCAUGCAUGUGACGCACGCAUGCAUACACCCAUAUCCACGCACGCACGCACGCACAUGUAUGUACAUUACAUGCAGACUCAGAUGACAGAUGAGUUUUCGAGGGCAUACCCAAACUAUAGCGGAUAGAGAAUUUUGGAACAUGGAACUUGGGAUAGACCAAAUGGGUACAAGGGCCUGCCUGGCAUUUGCCUAUCCUAUGUACUGCACUUGCUAUGGAGAGCCAGGGAGUAGUGCAAGGAGUCAAUAAUACUUACCAUAUUUAUCAAAAUUAUUGUCAUAUAUUGUGAUGGGUGGAUUUGUAGCCAUUGGUUAGGUGUUUUUUAUGGAAUGAAUCAAUAUGCAUCGAGCCAUCAGGAUUAAAGAUGAUUGAUUGAUGGCAAGCCUGCAAAUUCAAAUUCCCCUUUUGGGAUGUUUGUAUGUACAUAUUGAAUUUCAUCCAUUAUUACUAGGCUAAUUUCUGCAAAUUCAACUUCAUUUGUCGGUUUCAUGCAUCCCUCACGAAAGCUGGAGACUUGGAGUCUGACAGUUUGGGAAAGAAAAAGGGGGGUCCACAACUAGUGUCCACCAAGCAUCCAUCUAUAAAGAUUUGUGGUAGGAAUUUUAGGCAUUGAAUUUAUAGAUAUAACAUGAAGAAGAAGAAGAAG
Non-coding RNA from Elaeis guineensis (African oil palm), 2567 nucleotides. NCBI's taxonomy places the organism in Eukaryota, Viridiplantae, Streptophyta, Magnoliopsida, Arecales, Arecaceae. The record is from RefSeq and is a predicted model, not a curated record.